Long non-coding RNA from Vulpes vulpes (red fox), 1002 nucleotides. Lineage: Eukaryota; Metazoa; Chordata; Mammalia; Carnivora; Canidae. The record is from Ensembl.
AUGGCCGCGCCCGGACGUGUCUGCAGCCGGGGGGCGGGGCCGAGCCUGCGCGCGGGCCCGUCCUGCCGCGCGAUUGGUCACCGCGCUGCUCUCUUUUCUGCCUCGCGGGCCAACCGCGUUCGAAACUCCGGGGAAGCGCGCAACAGCUGCCCUUGGGCAGACACACCCUUCGGGAGCGCCGCCCCGCGGUCUGCGCGGGGUGUCGCGUCGGGGGCGCGGGCCGGGGCGGGAGGCGGCCAACCUGUGCUCGGAGAGGCGUCGGCGAGGGGCCAGGCCGGGGGGACGGUCGUUGGGCGGCGGGGGCUCGCUCCCUGCAGCCCCGCCCGCGGCUGUUGGGCAGCCGUUCCCCCGCGCAGGGGCUUUAAAGCGCUUGGGCCCCCGCCACCGCUGGUUUCUGGUAGACACCCAAAGGUAGGAAGUCGUCUCCCAAGCCCCCAUGUGCCGCUCACAGUGCGGAGGGGACAAGAAGGCAGGCAAGGAUCUGCUCCCACCCUCGAGAUCCCCACCCCUUUCCGGGGCUGCUUUCACGCCGUCACGGGGCCGGCCUGCGUCCCCGCUCCUGCAGGGAGUUUUCCGCUCAUUCCGGACUCCUCUGUCUGCCGGCUCUGGCUCAGGGAUCCCACCCCGCACGGGAGGGAUGCUGGACGGCGAGCUUUGUCUGACACCCCCCCACCCCCCGGGAGCCGCUGGGGGCUCAGAAACCCCAAGCUGCAAAGGAUGGGGCGAGAUGGAAUGUGCAGCCUCGUAUUCACUAGAUAUGAAAGAAGUGACUGUUCUUUGAUGCGUUGCCCUGCCCAGCCUGACUCAUGGAGUUUCUUUUUCCAGCAAGCUUUGAGAGUUCAUCACAGAACUUCCCAAAAGAAAGUCUCCAAUGGAAGGCGUCAACAGGCAGUUUGUGCCCUGCAAUUCUUUGAAGUUCUAUCCUCAAAACCCAUUCCUUAUUGUUUCCACCAAUCCUUACCCAAUUCUAGUCAAAUCUCUGCAUUGAUAGACUCACCUUAA